GUAUUUACUUUGGAAGCACAUAUAGUAAAAUUGGAAUGAUACAGAGAUUAGCAUGGCCCCUGUGUAAGGAUGGCACACAAAUUCUGAAACAUUCCAUGUAUAC
Small nuclear RNA from Lemur catta (Ring-tailed lemur), 103 nucleotides. NCBI's taxonomy places the organism in Eukaryota, Metazoa, Chordata, Mammalia, Primates, Lemuridae. The record is from RefSeq and is a predicted model, not a curated record.